CAGUAGCCGCGGGAAUACGUAGGGUGCGAGCGUUAAUCGGAAUUACUGGGCGUAAAGCGUGCGCAGGCGGUUGUGUAAGACAGGUGUGAAAUCCCCGGGCUUAACCUGGGAACUGCGCUUGUGACUGCACAGCUAGAGUAUGGCAGAGGGGGGUGGAAUUCCACGUGUAGCAGUGAAAUGCGUAGAGAUGUGGAGGAACACCGAUGGCGAAGGCAGCCCCCUGGGCCGAUACUGACGCUCAUGCACGAAAGCGUGGGGAGCAAACAGGAUUAGAUACCCCCGUAGUCCCUGUCUCUUAUAC
This 301-nucleotide ribosomal RNA is filed under the name uncultured bacterium. RNAcentral's name for it is "partial 16S ribosomal RNA". It matches the Rfam family "Bacterial small subunit ribosomal RNA", at positions 509 to 807 of the family's 1533-position model. The record is from RNAcentral.